This 490-nucleotide ribosomal RNA is filed under the name uncultured bacterium. RNAcentral's name for it is "partial 16S ribosomal RNA". It matches the Rfam family "Bacterial small subunit ribosomal RNA", at positions 28 to 507 of the family's 1533-position model. The record is from RNAcentral.
GAUGAACGCUCGCUACAGGCUUAACACAUGCAAGUCGCGGGGCAGCAUGGGGGUUGCUUGCAAUCCCCGAUGGCGACCGGCGCACGGGUGAGUAACGCGUAUCCAACCUGCCCUUCACCACGGGAUAACCCGGCGAAAGUCGGACUAAUACCGUAUGUUGUCCAUUGACGACAUCCGAUUUGGACGAAAGGCUUGGCGGUGAGGGAUGGGGAUGCGUCCGAUUAGCCAGACGGCGGGGUAACGGCCCACCGUGGCUACGAUCGGUAGGGGUUCUGAGAGGAAGGUCCCCCACACUGGAACUGAGACACGGUCCAGACUCCUACGGGAGGCAGCAGUGAGGAAUAUUGGUCAAUGGGCGUAAGCCUGAACCAGCCAAGUAGCGUGCAGGAUGACGGCCCUAUGGGUUGUAAACUGCUUUUAUGCGGGGAUAAAGUGGCCCACGUGUGGGCUUUUGCAGGUACCGCAUGAAUAAGGACCGGCUAAUUCCGUG